UGGGGAAUAUUGCACAAUGGGCGCAAGCCUGAUGCAGCCACGCCGCGUGUGUGAAGAAGGCCUUCGGGUUGUAAAGCACUUUCAGCGAGGAGGAAGGCGUUAAGGUUAAUAACCUUAGCGAUUGACGUUACUCGCAGAAGAAGCACCGGCUAACUCCGUGCCAGCAGCCGCGGUAAUACGGAGGGUGCAAGCGUUAAUCGGAAUUACUGGGCGUAAAGCGCACGCAGGCGGUUUGUUAAGUCAGAUGUGAAAUCCCCGAGCUUAACUUGGGAACUGCAUUUGAAACUGGCAAGCUAGAGUCUUGUAGAGGGGGGUAGAAUUCCAGGUGUAGCGGUGAAAUGCGUAGAGAUCUGGAGGAAUACCGGUGGCGAAGGCGGCCCCCUGGACAAAGACUGACGCUCAGGUGCGAAGGCGUGGGGCAGCAAACAGGAUUAGAUACCCUGGUAGUCCAGCGCUGUAAAA
This 462-nucleotide ribosomal RNA is filed under the name uncultured bacterium. Its description in RNAcentral is "partial 16S ribosomal RNA". It matches the Rfam family "Bacterial small subunit ribosomal RNA", at positions 355 to 807 of the family's 1533-position model. The record is from RNAcentral.